GACGAACGCUGGCGGCGUGCCUAAUACAUGCAAGUAGAACGCUGAAGGAGGAGCUUGCUUCUCUGGGUGAGUUGCGAACGGGUGAGUAACGCGUAGGUAACCUGCCUGGUAGCGGGGGAUAACUAUUGGAAACGAUAGCUAAUACCGCAUAAUAGUAGAUGUUGCAUGACAUUUGCUUAAAAGGUGCAAUUGCAUCACUACCAGAUGGACCUGCGUUGUAUUAGCUAGUUGGUGAGGUAACGGCUCACCAAGGCAACGAUACAUAGCCGACCUGAGAGGGUGAUCGGCCACACUGGGACUGAGACACGGCCCAGACGCCUACGGGAGGCAGCAGUAGGGAAUCUUCGGCAAUGGACGGAAGUCUGACCGAGCAACGCCGCGUGAGUGAAGAAGGUUUUCGGAUCGUAAAGCUCUGUUGUAAGAGAAGAACGAGUGUGAGAGUGGAAAGUUCACACUGUGACGGUAUCUUACCAGAAAGGGACGGCUAACUACGUG
Molecule: ribosomal RNA, 495 nt
Filed under: uncultured bacterium
Lineage: Bacteria
Description: partial 16S ribosomal RNA
Rfam family: Bacterial small subunit ribosomal RNA
Source: RNAcentral